RNAcentral lists this ribosomal RNA (269 nucleotides) under uncultured Symbiodinium. RNAcentral describes it as "partial Bacterial large subunit ribosomal RNA". It matches the Rfam family "Bacterial large subunit ribosomal RNA", at positions 1602 to 1893 of the family's 2925-position model. The record is from RNAcentral. Lineage: Eukaryota; Dinophyceae; Suessiales; Symbiodiniaceae.
GGGGUUCCUAGAAAAGCUAUGUGGGCAAUACAGGUCCCGUACUAAAACUGACACAGGUAGACGAGGCGAAUAGCCUCAGGCGCUCGAGAGAAUGGUUGUGAAGGAAUUAGGCAAAAUCACUCCGUACGUUCGCAAGAAGGAGGCCCUUCGGGGCGCAGAGAAAAGGUCCUGGCAACUGUUUAUCAAAAACACAGCACUGUGCUAACUCGCAAGAGGAUGUAUACAGUGUGACGCUUGCCCAAUGCCCGAAUGUCACGGGAGCAGGUUAG